This 524-nucleotide long non-coding RNA is filed under the name Mytilus galloprovincialis (Mediterranean mussel). The record is from RNAcentral. Lineage: Eukaryota; Metazoa; Mollusca; Bivalvia; Mytilida; Mytilidae.
GAAUAAGUAACGAAUAGGGAAUAGGGAAUAGGUAACGAAUAGGGAAUAGGGAAUAGGUAACGGAAUAGGGAAUAGGUAACGAAUAGGGAAUAGGGAAUAAGUAACCAACUUGACGUCCAUGGUUUCAUUAGGGUCUAAAUGUGACGCGUGAUUGCCGAUUUUUUGUAAGCCUGACACGUGAAGGUCAAAUUAUUGUGCCGUGAAAACGGGAAAUGAAGUCUAGCGGGACACGGGAAAUUACAAAAAAAUGAGAAUUGCUAACGUACAAAUAGUGUAAGCUGGAUACGGGAAUCUUGCAAAACUUAAACACAUAUUAUUGUCUAAAUAUACAUUAGGAUUGGAUACAAGUUAUAACAACUUAAAAUAAUCCUCUCCAAAUAAGUACAAUAUACAAAAUUUCAAGAUGACAGCAGUUAUAUAAUUCAGUACAAUAUGAAAUAUAUACAAUAAAUAUAUUAUGUUUAAAGAGUAACAGAAACUGUUGGUUAUGAGUACACUUUAAGAUACAGCAAUAUUAAUCAAAG